Molecule: ribosomal RNA, 525 nt
Filed under: Aspergillus sp. OGGK-2009
Lineage: Eukaryota; Fungi; Ascomycota; Eurotiomycetes; Eurotiales; Aspergillaceae
Description: eukaryotic LSU rRNA
Rfam family: 5.8S ribosomal RNA (bases 150-304)
Source: RNAcentral
CCCGGAGUUUGACGUCCNUANUUUGCUUCGGCGGGCCCGCCAUUCAUGGCCGCCGGGGGCUCUCAGCCCCGGGCCCGCGCCCGCCGGAGACACCACGCAACUCUGUCUGAUCUAGUGAAGUCUGAGUUGAUUGUAUCGCAAUCAGUUAAAACUUUCAACAAUGGAUCUCUUGGUUCCGGCAUCGAUGAAGAACGCAGCGAAAGUGCGAUAACUAGUGUGAAUUGCAGAAUUCCGUGAAUCAUCGAGUCUUUGAACGCACAUUGCGCCCCCUGGUAUUCCGGGGGGCAUGCCUGUCCGAGCGUCAUUGCUGCCCAUCAAGCACGGCUUGUGUGUUGGGUCGUCGUCCCCUCUCCGGGGGGGACGGGCCCCAAAGGCAGCGGCGGCACCGCGUCCGAUCCUCGAGCGUAUGGGGCUUUGUCACCCGCUCUGUAGGCCCGGCCGGCGCUUGCCGAACGCAAAUCAAUCUUUUUCCAGGUUGACCUCGGAUCAGGUAGGGAUACCCGCUGAACUUAAGCAUAUCAAUAG